GUUUUAAUAAUUUAAUAAAAAUAUUAGUUUUGUAAACUAAAAUUAGGUAAAUAAACCUCUAAAACA
RNAcentral lists this transfer RNA (66 nucleotides) under Nanatka castenea. Its description in RNAcentral is "tRNA-Thr". The record is from RNAcentral. Lineage: Eukaryota; Metazoa; Arthropoda; Insecta; Hemiptera; Cicadellidae.